UACAAAAUAUAACAGUUAACCGAUUGACAAAUGGCAUAGCCAUAUUUAAUUCAAAAGACCCCCCACUUAAUACAAAUUGUACAGAAUAUGAGCCUCUAUUCGCUACCGUUGAAAUAUGUGAAGUAAGAAUCAUAGGUUGCAGAGCUGGAGCUUACGGGGAAGGUUGCAAACCUUGUCCAUCAAUAUGUCCUAACGAAAGCUGUGAUGCAUUCAAUGGAUCAUGCAGAUAUCAAAAACCAGACAAUGGUUGUUCACAGACACCAAAGACUUUCAUAGUGAUCCUUCUCGCCGUUUCAGCAUUUCUUAUUGUCAUUACAACAACCAUUUUGACUUUUAGAGUACGUCGAAAAAGAAACCAAAAGCACAAAGAGAGAAAUCAGAAAGAUACCAAGACAGCUGUAAACUUACAUUUCUACGACAAAAUUAAAAAGACACAAGGGGAAAAUGUGUAUAGUAAAAUUAACUUUGCAGUGAAUGUGUCUCUUUAUGAAGAAAUUCACAUAUAAAAAUAAAUGUUCCAAGAUUUUUUUUUUUUACAAUUUGUUUUAAUGUCAUGAGAAUGUAAUUCUCGUUUAAUU
Saccostrea cuccullata (small rock oyster) is the source of this 578-nucleotide long non-coding RNA. RefSeq lists it as uncharacterized. The record is from RefSeq and is a predicted model, not a curated record. Lineage: Eukaryota; Metazoa; Mollusca; Bivalvia; Ostreida; Ostreidae. The transcript is spliced from 3 exons.